Molecule: small nucleolar RNA, 107 nt
Organism: Abrus precatorius (Indian licorice)
Lineage: Eukaryota; Viridiplantae; Streptophyta; Magnoliopsida; Fabales; Fabaceae
Source: RefSeq, a predicted model, not a curated record
AAACUAUAAUGUGGACAUCUCUUUAGAAGUUCGCCAAAGCGCUCAUAUGUCUCAAAUAGAGAUUUAGACUCACAUUGUUGAAAAUUAGAUAUCUCUGUCAUUAGUUU